This 1372-nucleotide ribosomal RNA is filed under the name uncultured bacterium. RNAcentral describes it as "bacterial SSU rRNA". It matches the Rfam family "Bacterial small subunit ribosomal RNA", at positions 28 to 1381 of the family's 1533-position model. The record is from RNAcentral.
GAUGAACGCUGGCGGCGUGCCUAAUACAUGCAAGUCGAGCGAACGGACGAGAAGCUUGCUUCUCUGAUGUUAGCGGCGGACGGGUGAGUAACACGUGGAUAACCUACCUAUAAGACUGGGAUAACUUCGGGAAACCGGAGCUAAUACCGGAUGAUAUUUUGAACCGCAUGGUUCAAAAGUGAAAGACGGUCUUGCUGUCACUUAUAGAUGGAUCCGCGCUGCAUUAGCUAGUUGGUAAGGUAACGGCUUACCAUGGCAACGAUGCAUAGCCGACCUGAGAGGGUGAUCGGCCACACUGGAACUGAGACACGGUCCAGACUCCUACGGGAGGCAGCAGUAGGGAAUCUUCCGCAAUGGGCGAAAGCCUGACGGAGCAACGCCGCGUGAGUGAUGAAGGUCUUCGGAUCGUAAAACUCUGUUAUUAGGGAAGAACAUAUGUGUAAGUAACUGUGCACAUCUUGACGGUACCUAAUCAGAAAGCCACGGCUAACUACGUGCCAGCAGCCGCGGUAAUACGUAGGUGGCAAGCGUUAUCCGGAAUUAUUGGGCGUAAAGCGCGCGUAGGCGGUUUUUUAAGUCUGAUGUGAAAGCCCACGGCUCAACCGUGGAGGGUCAUUGGAAACUGGAAAACUUGAGUGCAGAAGAGGAAAGUGGAAUUCCAUGUGUAGCGGUGAAAUGCGCAGAGAUAUGGAGGAACACCAGUGGCGAAGGCGACUUUCUGGUCUGUAACUGACGCUGAUGUGCGAAAGCGUGGGGAUCAAACAGGAUUAGAUACCCUGGUAGUCCACGCCGUAAACGAUGAGUGCUAAGUGUUAGGGGGUUUCCGCCCCUUAGUGCUGCAGCUAACGCAUUAAGCACUCCGCCUGGGGAGUACGACCGCAAGGUUGAAACUCAAAGGAAUUGACGGGGACCCGCACAAGCGGUGGAGCAUGUGGUUUAAUUCGAAGCAACGCGAAGAACCUUACCAAAUCUUGACAUCCUUUGACAACUCUAGAGAUAGAGCCUUCCCCUUCGGGGGACAAAGUGACAGGUGGUGCAUGGUUGUCGUCAGCUCGUGUCGUGAGAUGUUGGGUUAAGUCCCGCAACGAGCGCAACCCUUAAGCUUAGUUGCCAUCAUUAAGUUGGGCACUCUAAGUUGACUGCCGGUGACAAACCGGAGGAAGGUGGGGAUGACGUCAAAUCAUCAUGCCCCUUAUGAUUUGGGCUACACACGUGCUACAAUGGACAAUACAAAGGGCAGCGAAACCGCGAGGUCAAGCAAAUCCCAUAAAGUUGUUCUCAGUUCGGAUUGUAGUCUGCAACUCGACUACAUGAAGCUGGAAUCGCUAGUAAUCGUAGAUCAGCAUGCUACGGUGAAUACGUUCCCGGGUCU